GAUGAAGAACGUAGCGAAAUGCGAUAAGUAAUGUGAAUUGUAGAACUCAGUGAAUCAUCGAAUCUUUGAACGCACAUUGCGCCCGCCAGUAUUCUGGCGGGCAUGCCUGUUCGAGCGUCAUUACAACCCUCAGGCCCCCGGGCCUGGCGUUGGGGAUCGGCGGAAGCCCCCUGCGGGCACAACGCCGUCCCCCAAAUACAGUGGCGGUCCCGCCGCAGCUUCCAUUGCGUAGUAGCUAACACCUCGCAACUGGAGAGCGGCGCGGCCACGCCGUAAAACACCCAACUUCUGAAUGUUGACCUCGAAUCAGGUAGGAAUACCCGCUGAACUUAAGCAUAUCAAUAAGCGGAGGA
This 353-nucleotide unclassified non-coding RNA is filed under the name soil metagenome. Its description in RNAcentral is "partial contains 5.8S ribosomal RNA, internal transcribed spacer 2, and large subunit ribosomal RNA". The stretch from base 1 to 120 matches the Rfam family "5.8S ribosomal RNA", at positions 35 to 154 of the family's 154-position model. The record is from RNAcentral.